AACCUAGCACACCUGCGGUGUGUACCUGCGGAGGGAUCAUUACAGAGUUGCAAAACUCCCUAAACCAUUGUGAACGUUACCUAAACCGUUGCUUCGGCGGGCGGCCCGGGUCCUUCCCGGCGCCCCUCGGCCCUCGCGGGCGCCCGCCGGAGGUAAACCAAACUAUUGCAUUGUAUGGCCUCUCUGAGUCUUCUGUACUGAAUAAGUCAAAACUUUCAGCAAUGGAUCUCAGAUCGGAAG
RNAcentral lists this unclassified non-coding RNA (240 nucleotides) under soil metagenome. Its description in RNAcentral is "partial contains 5.8S ribosomal RNA, internal transcribed spacer 2, and large subunit ribosomal RNA". The record is from RNAcentral.